GGAACGGGGGCCGCAAGCCGGCGGGGGCGGCGGCGUCGCCGCUCGGCUCCUUUCUUUCGCGAGAGGUCAAGGGCAAGCGGGUUUGAGGAGGCCCGACGGCGAUUCCGUUGUUCGCCGCCGUGAUGUGGCGCCUGCCGCGCCUGACGUGCGGCCCCUGGGAGAAGACGGGCCAUCUCACAGACGGUCGUCUCUCCCCGCUCGGGAGGCAUCCGCGGCGGCGGAUCGGCACCCGCCCGUCGCUCGCCGCACGGUGCUCGCCCCCCGCCCAUCGCUCGAGAGGCAUCCGCGGCGGCGGCCGUGGGCUCUGGAAGGUGGGGUGGCAGGCGGCCGGCAUCCGAUGGCCGUGUGGUGCUAAAGCUCUCCGCCCGGUCAGUUCUUCCGAGCUGAGCAAGAUCAACGACUUCAACUCGAUUUUUCUCAAGAUUUCAUAUUCAAGUUCGUCUAAGAGUUAAACUAGGAAGUGUAGAUGAAUGAUAGGGCUGCAAUUCUUGUAUUCAAAGUUUUGUGAUUCGAACAAAGGAUUUGGAGAUUAGGACGGACAGUCCGGCCGAUGCAACGAGUUUGGUUCACGUUUUAGAGUUAAUUGCCGCCUGAACCUGUGAAUUUCUUUAGAUUUCUCCCUCGAUUUCAAAUAGUGUAUCAUCAAAAAGUUUAACUGAAUUUUAUACAGGGUAUAUAGGGCUCUAAAUUUUGUA
This is a long non-coding RNA of Panicum virgatum (switchgrass), 695 nucleotides long. RefSeq lists it as uncharacterized. The transcript has 2 exons. The record is from RefSeq and is a predicted model, not a curated record. Lineage: Eukaryota; Viridiplantae; Streptophyta; Magnoliopsida; Poales; Poaceae.